This is a long non-coding RNA of Mercurialis annua (annual mercury), 516 nucleotides long. RefSeq lists it as uncharacterized. Lineage: Eukaryota; Viridiplantae; Streptophyta; Magnoliopsida; Malpighiales; Euphorbiaceae. The transcript has 2 exons. The record is from RefSeq and is a predicted model, not a curated record.
CCUCAAACAACUCCCCAAUCCCACUUUCCAAAUCUUUCUCUUUUUUUGAUUUUAGGUUGACAGGAAUUAUGGAAUGGCGAAAACUAGAGCUUCUUCAACAAAUAAAUCAGAUAUGAAAUCAUCCCCAUCAAAGACACCCGCAAUGACAAAAUCGAAGAGGGUAUCUAGCAAACGGAAGGUUGAUUUUGAUGAUGUUCAAAUUACGAGUAAGAACCCUAGAGUUCACGGUCACUGAUAAUCAAAAGAAAAAAAAAAUUGUUCCUUCUCCUCAUACUUUUGUUAAGUUUUUUUCUGUCAAACUGAUGAAAAAAACGAUGAACGAAGACGGUUUGAGUUGAACGAAGAAAGCAGUCGUUGGAGUGAGACGAAGAUAGGCGAACGAUGAACGAAAGCAAACAAUGAACGAAGGCGCGGUGGCUGGCAGCCAUUGUCUUUUUUAUUGUAAUUGGGAUUUUAACAAUGAUGUAAAAAUAAUUAAGGUUAACUAUAUGUUUCUAAUGGUUAAUUAAUAGUUAA